CAUGCUAGUCGAGCGGACGACGGGAGCUUGCUCCCUUAGGUCAGCGGCGGACGGGUGAGUAACACGUGGGUAACCUGCCUGUAAGACUGGGAUAACUCCGGGAAACCGGGGCUAAUACCGGAUGCUUGAUUGAACCGCAUGGUUCAAUCAUAAAAGGUGGCUUUUAGCUACCACUURCAGAUGGACCCGCGGCGCAAUAGCUAGUUGGUGAGGUAACGGCUCACCAAGGCGACGAUGCGUAGCCGACCUGAGAGGGUGAUCGGCCACACUGGGACUGAGACACGGCCCAGACUCCUACGGGAGGCAGCAGUAGGGAAUCUUCCGCAAUGGACGAAAGUCUGACGGAGCAACGCCGCGUGAGUGAUGAAGGUUUUCGGAUCGUAAAACUCUGUUGUUAGGGAAGAACAAGUACCGUUCGAAUAGGGCGGCACCUUGACGGUACCUAACCAGAAAGCCACGGCUAACUACGUGCCAGCAGCCGCGGUAAUACGUAGGUGGCAAGCGUUGUCCGGAAUUAUUGGGCGUAAAGCGCGCGCAGGCGGUUUCUUAAGUCUGAUGUGAAAGCCCCCGGCUCAACCGGGGAGGGUCAUUGGAAACUGGGGAACUUGAGUGCAGAAGAGGAGAGUGGAAUUCCACGUGUAGCGGUGAAAUGCGUAGAGAUGUGGAGGAACACCAGUGGCGAAAGCGACUCUCUGGUCUGUAACUGACGCUGAGGCGCGAAAGCGUGGGGAGCGAACAGGAUUAGAUACCCUGGUAGUCCACGCCGUAAACGAUGAGUGCUAAGUGUUAGAGGGUUUCCGCCCUUUAGUGCUGCAGCAAACGCAUUAAGCACUCCGCCUGGGGAGUACGGUCGCAAGACUGAAACUCA
Molecule: ribosomal RNA, 868 nt
Filed under: Bacillus sp. (in: firmicutes)
Lineage: Bacteria; Bacillati; Bacillota; Bacilli; Caryophanales; Bacillaceae
Description: bacterial SSU rRNA
Source: RNAcentral